This is an unclassified non-coding RNA of Myotis lucifugus (little brown bat), 340 nucleotides long. Its record names the gene 7SK. It matches the Rfam family "7SK RNA". Rfam says of the family: 7SK was discovered as an abundant small nuclear RNA in the mid-70s but a possible function has only recently been suggested. Two independent studies have found that 7SK RNA binds the CDK9/cyclin T complex (known as elongation factor P-TEFb). NCBI's taxonomy places the organism in Eukaryota, Metazoa, Chordata, Mammalia, Chiroptera, Vespertilionidae. The record is from Ensembl.
GGAUGUGAGGGCGAUCUGGCUGCGACAUCUGUCACCCCAUUGAUCGCCAGGGUUGAUUCCGCUGAUCUGGCUGGCUAGGCGGGUGUCCCCCUCCUCCCUCACCGAUCCAUGUGCGUCCCUCCCGAAGCUGCGCGCUCGGUCGAAGAGGACGACCUUCCCCCCCGAGGAGAGGACCCGUCUUCGGUCAAGGGUAUACGAGUAGCUGCGCUCCCCUGCUAGAACCUCCAAACAAGCUCUCCUUAUUUUUUUUAAAGAUUCUUAGAGAUUUUUAGAGAGAGUGGAAGUGAGAGGAAGAGAGAAAGAAAUAUCGAUGUGAGAGGGAAACACUGACCUGCUGCCU